Molecule: long non-coding RNA, 1663 nt
Filed under: Betta splendens (Siamese fighting fish)
Lineage: Eukaryota; Metazoa; Chordata; Actinopteri; Anabantiformes; Osphronemidae
Description: lncRNA (ENSBSLG00000004036.1)
Source: RNAcentral
AUCAGAGAAGACACAAUCUCCCAGCAUCCACCUGUAUUUGCAUCAUGUAGCUGUGGUGCCACCUAACUGUUUAAUUACAUUAACAUGUAAACUAGUGAUAAAUUCCAGUAAAUUAAAAUAUAUUGAGCUUUGAUACCUCCUAUUAAGAAAAGAAAAUGUCAUCCACCACACGAUAUAAGCCUUUACAAGUAAAGGUGAAGGAUAGUGUUGUACUAGAAAUAGCAUGUGUGCUUGCCACCCGCUGUCCGCUAGGUGGCAGCACCUUUAUUUCACGCUGCCACAUGACUGAACUCCAGUGAUGAAAGCCUGAUCCACCACAGAACAGCAUCAGAAAGCUGAUGCAGCUCAGUUAACGUCUCCGAGGAGUGUGUCAGGCCAGACUUUAAAUGUCAGCAGCAGAGAGGAAUCUAUGGGCCAAGUUUCCACCGAGUGCUCUGCAGAAGGAGACGUGUGGGUGGCGUCACGUGACGUCACCGUGUCAGCGACGUGCAGCUGUGCUCUACUCACCCUCCUUGAAUUGGUUUGACUGCCCUGUUCAGGCCCCAGGCAGCUUUUAUGCAGGUGGAAAAUGGAGGUUGGACCUAACUGGACAGAGCCCGGUGGAGAGGAGCAGGACGGGGGGAUGGGGACAACGCGCCUGCUGGAGCUGAUGCUGCUGAGCCUUGGAGGAAGUAGGUCAAAGCUGACCUUGGUGGCAGCCGAGCUGCAACUCGAGGGCAGAAACCCAAAUAACCCAGCCAUGAAAAUAAAAAUCAAUGCAGGAAGUGGAUCUGUUGCCAGAAGGUAGUUCUCCAAGGUCAACGGCCCCGGCAGACGGACUAUCACAUUCAGCCUCUCCACCCAGUCACACAGAUGCAGACCAACAGCAGACAAUAGGGAAUGUGCCCACAACACCAUGCUGCCCACCUCAGACGGGCACUGAGCCUGUCUCUCAACAGAAGUGACGCGGUGUCGGGUGGCCUCUGCAGCAGUGACUGUACCAUCACCCGUUACUGGAUACGUCACUGUGUGACUGGUGGCACUGGAGGGAGGCUGAGGCCCCUGCUUCUGCGUACCUGCAGCCGCAGUGGGUGUCGGGGAGCACCCGCUGCGACUGUCAACCCUGAUGGAGCUACUGGAUCCAGCAAGUGCUGGAUGCAUGAAUAUGCAUAAACUGAUGAAUGUGUGACAUUAAACUAGCCAAUAUAUUGUUAGUUACUUGGAAAUAUGUGCUAUUGUAAACUUAUUCCAUUUUAAAAAUAUGCCUAAUGUUGCCUCUUAUACAGUACGUCACUCCUCCAGAGGGAAAUGCCCAGAAAAGGUUAACAAAGGUCAGCACAUAGCGGCUCUCACAGUCUAGUCAUCAUGUUAAGAUGAUUACAUAAAGGGAAUUAUCCAUCAAAGUGGGCUUAAGCAGGUCACAGGAGGAAUUCAGGCUUCUAUUAGAACACGACGCGCUUAUCUGUUCCACCAAAGCUGAGAGCGUCACAGAAAGCGAGUCAGGAAGGUGAAAAGUCCAACUGUAACUUCUCUAACUUCACACAUCUUCACGGUAAAAUAGACAGAAACGGAGGGCUUGUGGCUGACGACACACCGGCCACAGGAAUAGGCCGAAACUUGCUGCCAUGCUGUCGAUUAAAAGUGGUAUGAAUACACAAUAAAUAACUCUAUAAUUGGACUUUCA